GAUGAACGCUGGCGGCGUGCCUAAUACAUGCAAGUCGAGCGAACAGAUGAGGAGCUUGCUCCUCUGACGUUAGCGGCGGACGGGUGAGUAACACGUGGAUAACCUACCUAUAAGACUGGGAUAACUUCGGGAAACCGGAGCUAAUACCGGAUAAUAUAUUGAACCGCAUGGUUCAAUAGUGAAAGACGGUUUUGCUGUCACUUAUAGAUGGAUCCGCGCCGCAUUAGCUAGUUGGUAAGGUAACGGCUUACCAAGGCAACGAUGCGUAGCCGACCUGAGAGGGGGAUCGGCCACACUGGAACUGAGACACGGUCCAGACUCCUACGGGAGGCAGCAGUAGGGAAUCUUCCGCAAUGGGCGAAAGCCUGACGGAGCAACGCCGCGUGAGUGAUGAAGGGCUUCGGAUCGUAAAACGCUGUUAUUAGGGAAGAACAAAUGUGUAAGUAACUAUGCACGUCUUGACGGUACCUAAUCAGAAAGCCACGGCUAACUACGU
This 496-nucleotide ribosomal RNA is filed under the name uncultured bacterium. RNAcentral describes it as "partial 16S ribosomal RNA". It matches the Rfam family "Bacterial small subunit ribosomal RNA", at positions 28 to 506 of the family's 1533-position model. The record is from RNAcentral.